UGGCGGACGGGUGAGUAACGCGUGGGUAACCUGCCUUGUACUGGGGGACAACAGUUAGAAAUGACUGCUAAUACCGCAUAAGCGCACAGUAUCGCAUGAUACGGUGUGAAAAACUCCGGUGGUACAAGAUGGACCCGCGUCUGAUUAGCUAGUUGGUAGGGUAACGGCUACCAAGGCGACGAUCAGUAGCCGACCUGAGAGGGUGACCGGCCACAUUGGGACUGAGACACGGCCCAA
RNAcentral lists this ribosomal RNA (237 nucleotides) under uncultured bacterium. Its description in RNAcentral is "partial 16S ribosomal RNA". It matches the Rfam family "Bacterial small subunit ribosomal RNA", at positions 96 to 334 of the family's 1533-position model. The record is from RNAcentral.